UACGUAGGUGGCAAGCGUUGUCCGGAUUUAUUGGGUUUAAAGGGUGCGUAGGCGGCCCUGUAAGUCAGUGGUGAAAUACGGCAGCUCAACUGUCGAGGUGCCAUUGAUACUGCGGGGCUUGAGUGUUGAUGAGGUAGGCGGAAUUGACGGUGUAGCGGUGAAAUGCUUAGAUAUCGUCAAGAACACCGAUAGCGAAGGCAGCUUACCAAGCAAUAACUGACGCUGAGGCACGAAAGUGCGGGGAU
This 245-nucleotide ribosomal RNA is filed under the name uncultured bacterium. RNAcentral's name for it is "partial 16S ribosomal RNA". It matches the Rfam family "Bacterial small subunit ribosomal RNA", at positions 524 to 768 of the family's 1533-position model. The record is from RNAcentral. RNAcentral also lists the same sequence under 1 other name.